UGUUUGCAAACAACCUGUCUUUAGCUGAAAAAUGAGUUUCAUGGAGAAAGCUAGAGAAUGAACAUGGAAAAGCAGAAUAGAAAAAUUCUGGAAAAUAAGAAGCAGUAUUGCUCUUCCUUUCAUUACUCUUGUCUGCUUCUGGCAAUUAGAUUAAGUAAACCUAAACGACAAGACAGGAGGAAGAAAAUACAUCCAAAAUUCAUACUUACAUUAAAAGAACAAUACCCUGAAAGGGAAAUCAUGCCAAAAGUUGCAUCUGUGCCUUUUGCAAGAUGAUGAUAAAAAAGCAAAAGAAAUCUCUCCAUUUUCAAGAUAGCUUCAAAAAGAAAGCAACCAGACAUGGAACUACCUCCCACACUUCACUGCCAGUGGCUCUUGCAUGUGAUGUCCUUGGAUACCCAAAAGAUUAGCCAGUCUCAUCCACCUGGCCCAUGUCACAGGGAUCAAGGACAUUUCUCCAUCUACAAACUUAAGCUCAUGCUCUCUGAAAGUGAAGAGAACAAAUUGAAAGUUAGAGUCUGAGAAGACUAAUAGGGACAUCUCAUUCUUGAUGGGGGCAACAGUCCUCUCAUAUGGCAAUGCAUUAUGAGCCACAAAGAAGAGUUGAACUUCAGCUAUCAGCCUGCACCCUAGGACCAUUACUGACCACUACAGCUGCAUCACUUGCACCCUGGCACAUUUUGACAUCCAGGAGAACUCAAUACUUCUGCUAUAAAGAAUGUGGACAUGAAGACCAGCUUGUAUAUUUGUGUCCCUGAAUGUCUUCCACUUGAGGAAAAACUUGUGUGCUAUUGGAUAAGGUCCUGAAACAAUUUAAAUGCAUCACCAGCAGGAAAAACCCGUCAUGAAGUGGGAGAAAGUCUUCUUGAACAUUAUUCAUUUGAAUGAUGGACCUGUGUAGAAGCAGAUAUUGAGAUGAUGCAGCUGACGUGUGACAGAGUACCAAAUGGACGUCCUUAGAGAAGUCAGUUCUAACUUCCCUAAGUCAUCACUACUCUCUUAGUAGGCCAUAUUUUUUAGGGAAUCACUCAGCAUGUGUAUCAGCUUUCCCAGACCUAAAUUCUUUUAGGCUGCAUAUUUCUUUUGGAGUGAAAAUUUGAGACACUGUAGCCCAUGAAUUGCUGUGAAGACAUUGAAGCCACAUUCCUCACUUUUAAGGGACUGGUGUGGUGGCAUACAGGAGUCUAAUGUUCCAUGCCAUUUAUGAUUUUCCACUUUAUUGAAGAAAUAAUUCUGUUUGUAGUUUUAUGAACUUGCAAUCUUGAAUACACAGCACUGCAGGUCACUAUUUUGUCUAUAGGCUGUUCCAUCUUAAGUGAAGAAACACUAUAUGUUGUUAAAACCCUGAUCUCCAAGAGUUUGUAAAAAAAAAAUAACGAUGUUUGACUGAAAAUGUAAUUUUUAAAAGUUGAACAUUUAUUAUUAAAGUUUCUUA
Agelaius phoeniceus (red-winged blackbird) is the source of this 1435-nucleotide non-coding RNA. Lineage: Eukaryota; Metazoa; Chordata; Aves; Passeriformes; Icteridae. The record is from RefSeq and is a predicted model, not a curated record.